RNAcentral lists this ribosomal RNA (253 nucleotides) under uncultured bacterium. RNAcentral's name for it is "partial 16S ribosomal RNA". It matches the Rfam family "Bacterial small subunit ribosomal RNA", at positions 524 to 776 of the family's 1533-position model. The record is from RNAcentral.
UACGUAGGGUGCGAGCGUUAAUCGGAAUUACUGGGCGUAAAGCGUGCGCAGGCGGUUUUGUAAGCCAGAUGUGAAAUCCCCGGGCUUAACCUGGGAAUGGCAUUUGGGACUGCAAGGCUCGAGUGCGGCAGAGGAGACUGGAAUUCCUGGUGUAGCGGUGAAAUGCGUAGAUAUCGUUUGGAACGCCAAUGGUGAAAACAGGUUGCUGGGGAUAUGCUGACGCUGAGACACGAAAGCCAGGGGAGCAAACGGG